CCGCUGUGAUGACUUCUUAGGACACCUUUGGAUUAACCAUGAAAACAAACAAUGAAAGAACUGAGCUGC
Molecule: small nucleolar RNA, 69 nt
Filed under: Stegastes partitus (bicolor damselfish)
Lineage: Eukaryota; Metazoa; Chordata; Actinopteri; Pomacentridae
Description: Small nucleolar RNA SNORD58 (ENSSPAG00000008273.1)
Rfam family: Small nucleolar RNA SNORD58
About the family: snoRNA U58 is found in introns 1, 3 and 6 of the ribosomal protein RPL17 gene in humans.
Source: Rfam by way of RNAcentral